ACCUUAGAGACCAACUAAGUUUGUUCUGGGUAUAAGCUUUCGUGCGCACACAAAAGCUUAUACCCAGAACAAACUUAGUUGGUCUCUAAGGU
Molecule: non-coding RNA, 92 nt
Organism: Podarcis lilfordi (Lilford's wall lizard)
Lineage: Eukaryota; Metazoa; Chordata; Lepidosauria; Squamata; Lacertidae
Source: the annotation of a GenBank genome assembly